UACAGAGGUCUCAAGCGUUGUUCGGAUUCAUUGGGCGUAAAGGGUGUGUAGGUGGCGCCGUAAGUCGGGUGUGAAAUUUCGGAGCUUAACUCCGAAACUGCACUUGAUACUGCUCUGCUUGAGGACUGGAGAGGAGACUGGAAUUCACGGUGUAGCAGUGAAAUGCGUAGAUAUCGUGAGGAAGACCAGUGGCGAAGGCGGGUCUCUGGACAGUUCCUGACGCUGAGGCGCGAAGGCCAGGGGAGCAAACGGG
Molecule: ribosomal RNA, 253 nt
Filed under: uncultured bacterium
Lineage: Bacteria
Description: partial 16S ribosomal RNA
Rfam family: Bacterial small subunit ribosomal RNA
Source: RNAcentral